AGAUAAGAUUUUAUACCUGCUAUGUCUAGCUCAGUUCUUGGUAAUCUGACUGGAAGAAUAUUUUUAAGUAAUUGCUUAAUGAAAAUGUUGAAAUUGUCAGUGUUGUGAUAUUUUAACACAGAAAAUAUGUCUUUAAUUGCCUAAAGGACUAAAUAACAUGGUUGAGUCAGGGAUAUGAAAAUGAAUCAAGGAUAUCAUUGGGGGUGAGGAGAAAUUGUGAAUUCUGCA
Non-coding RNA from Pelobates cultripes (western spadefoot toad), 228 nucleotides. The record is from the annotation of a GenBank genome assembly. Lineage: Eukaryota; Metazoa; Chordata; Amphibia; Anura; Pelobatidae.